AGAAAGAGAAAGAUUAAGGCAAGAAAGUGCAGAUGCAACAAGACAAAAGAAGAACCUUGCAUUAUCAAAUCCUAGCACUCCACUUUCACCACUGGAGACACUACUGAGAGCUGCUGGAUCUACGUAACUAAAAACAUUUUAAUGCACUUUAUUUUUUAUGUAACUGAGAGCAUAAUAAGUAUAACAAAAUAAGAUUAAAUGUUUGAGGAAGUACUAAUAUGUGUACUAGUAUAAUGUCUUUGUUAAACAGAGUGUAAGCAAUCAAAUGCUUUCGUUAA
This is a long non-coding RNA of Amphimedon queenslandica, 278 nucleotides long. RefSeq lists it as uncharacterized. The transcript has 3 exons. NCBI's taxonomy places the organism in Eukaryota, Metazoa, Porifera, Demospongiae, Haplosclerida, Niphatidae. The record is from RefSeq and is a predicted model, not a curated record.